UUGAGCCGGUUGCCCGGAAAGCGGGCAUGGCCGGUUCUGAGCCUCGAUCCACCGAUGAAGGUUUGAC
RNAcentral lists this non-coding RNA (67 nucleotides) under Micromonospora sp. Llam0. The record is from RNAcentral. Lineage: Bacteria; Bacillati; Actinomycetota; Actinomycetes; Micromonosporales; Micromonosporaceae.